UACAGAGGGGGCAAGCGUUGUUCGGAAUUACUGGGCGUAAAGGGUUUGUAGGUGGCCCGCUAAGUCACACGUGAAAUCCCUCAGCUUAACUGGGGAACUGCGUGUGAGACUGGCAGGCUCGAGGGCAGGAGAGGAACGCGGAAUUCCAGGUGUAGCGGUGAAAUGCGUAGAUAUCUGGAGGAACACCGGUGGCGAAGGCGGCGUUCUGGACUGUCUCUGACACUGAAGAACGAAAGCCAGGGGAGCAAACGGG
This 253-nucleotide ribosomal RNA is filed under the name uncultured bacterium. RNAcentral describes it as "partial 16S ribosomal RNA". It matches the Rfam family "Bacterial small subunit ribosomal RNA", at positions 524 to 776 of the family's 1533-position model. The record is from RNAcentral.